UCCGUAGGGUGCAAGCGUUAAUCGGAAUUACUGGGCGUAAAGCGUGCGCAGGCGGUUAUGUAAGACAGUUGUGAAAUCCCCGGGCUCAACCUGGGAACUGCAUCUGUGACUGCAUAGCUAGAGUACGGUAGAGGGGGAUGGAAUUCCGCGUGUAGCAGUGAAAUGCGUAGAUAUGCGGAGGAACACCGAUGGCGAAGGCAAUCCCCUGGACCUGUACUGACGCUCAUGCACGAAAGCGUGGGUAGCGAACAGG
This 253-nucleotide ribosomal RNA is filed under the name uncultured bacterium. Its description in RNAcentral is "partial 16S ribosomal RNA". It matches the Rfam family "Bacterial small subunit ribosomal RNA", at positions 524 to 776 of the family's 1533-position model. The record is from RNAcentral.